This 573-nucleotide ribosomal RNA is filed under the name uncultured bacterium. RNAcentral's name for it is "bacterial SSU rRNA". It matches the Rfam family "Bacterial small subunit ribosomal RNA", at positions 222 to 796 of the family's 1533-position model. The record is from RNAcentral.
GGGAUGAGCUUGCGUCCGAUUAGCUAGUUGGCGGGGCAACGGCCCACCAAGGCGACGAUCGGUAGCCGGCCUGAGAGGGUGAUCGGCCACAUUGGGACUGAGAUACGGCCCAGACUCUACGGGAGGCAGCAGUAGGGAAUAUUGCACAAUGGGGGAAACCCUGAUGCAGCAACGCCACGUGUGGGAAGAAGCAUUUCGGUGUGUAAACCACUGUCGUGAAGGAAUAAUGCCUGGUUUCGGCCAGGUUGAAUGUACUUUGAAAGGAAGCACCGGCAAACUUCGUGCCAGCAGCCGCGGUAAUACGAGGGGUGCAAGCGUUGUUCGGAAUCACUGGGCGUAAAGGGAGCGCAGGCGGAAGUGCAAGCGGUCUGUACAAUACCGGGGCCCAACCCCGGACCUGCAGACCGGACUGCAUUUCUUGGAUAGUUCAGGGGCAAGCGGAAUUCCUGGUGUAGCGGUGGAAUGCGUAGAGAUCAGGAAGAACACCGAUGGCGAAGGCAGCUUGCUGGGGACUUAUCGACGCUCAUGCUCGAAAGUGCGGGUAGCAAACAGGAUUAGAUACCCUGGUAGUCC